UGGGUAACCUGCCUCAAAGAGGGGAAUAGCCUCCCGAAAGGGAGAUUAAUACCGCAUAAUAUGUUUAGGUCGCAUGACUUUAACAUCAAAGGAUUUUCUUUUAGAAAUUCCACUUUGAGAUGGACCCGCGGCGCAUUAGCUAGUUGGUGAGGUAACGGCUCACCAAGGCAACGAUGCGUAGCCGACCUGAGAGGGUGAUCGGCCACAUUGGAACUGAGACCACGGUCCCAGACCUCCGUAGGAGG
This 245-nucleotide ribosomal RNA is filed under the name uncultured bacterium. RNAcentral describes it as "partial 16S ribosomal RNA". It matches the Rfam family "Bacterial small subunit ribosomal RNA", at positions 118 to 347 of the family's 1533-position model. The record is from RNAcentral.